CUUUUCCUCUCUCUUCUCUCAUCUCUAUCCUUUAGAGAGAGGAAACGAUCGAAGCUUCUUAAUCUGAUAACGAUUGCUACUUCAGCAUCUGUUGAUCGUUCACGAUGGCUUCUGAACAGAAUCCUAUGGCUUUCUCAGCAUAGAUGUCUGGCUCUUGUCCGUUAACGUUUGUCUUUUCGACAACGUUUGAUCGGCUCUCUUCUGACACCAUCUUGUUUCUCUUUUACGGUGGUGGUUGGCUUGUGUCUGGCUUCCGUUGGCUUCUACAGUAGCGGUGUUGCUGAAAGCUCCAUCGAUUUAAAUGUUUCACCGAUGUUCUUCGGAGAUUUGGAAUCAAUUGCUUUGGGAAGAUAUUUUCUUUGCAGUUUUGAUGUUGAAGUUUAGUGAGCUUCUCCAAUUAAAAACCGAUAGACUUCUGUGUUUGAAGUUCUAAUGGUUUCCGGUGGUUUUGGAGUUUCCGUUUGUUGCUUACCAUACGAUGAACGGCGACAACAUAAACUUCAUCUCUCAACGUGUUAAACUUUAGUUCAUAGCAUCACAUGUGGCUCUGUGUUGGAAGUUUUAAUGUUUACUUCCUCAAAAGGUUUAGUUUCUAGAUUGAGCUUUCAUAAUAUUAGGCCUUUAAGUUGAAUUUGUUGGUUACAGUUUAAUGUGUGCAGGGCCUGUAAGUGGAAGGUUACACUGUUGUAUUUCUUACGACUUAAGAUAUAAAUAAAGAGCAACACUUAUGAGGAAAAAAAAAAAUCUACAAUACGGUUUUUUUUUUUUUUUUUUUUUU
This 778-nucleotide unclassified non-coding RNA is filed under the name Arabidopsis thaliana (thale cress). The record is from RNAcentral. Lineage: Eukaryota; Viridiplantae; Streptophyta; Magnoliopsida; Brassicales; Brassicaceae.